RNAcentral lists this small nucleolar RNA (93 nucleotides) under Tursiops truncatus (common bottlenose dolphin). Its description in RNAcentral is "Small nucleolar RNA SNORD116 (ENSTTRG00000022442.1)". It matches the Rfam family "Small nucleolar RNA SNORD116". Rfam says of the family: HBII-85 is a member of the C/D class of snoRNAs, which contain the C (UGAUGA) and D (CUGA) box motifs. HBII-85 is encoded in a tandemly repeated array with another C/D snoRNA, HBII-52, in the Prader-Willi syndrome (PWS) region of chromosome 15. RNAcentral also lists the same sequence under 1 other name. The record is from Rfam by way of RNAcentral. Lineage: Eukaryota; Metazoa; Chordata; Mammalia; Artiodactyla; Delphinidae.
AGAUCGAUGAUGACACCCUUGUGUGCAUUCCUUGGAAAAUCUGAACAAAAUGAGUGAGAACACUCUACCAUCUCCUCAUCAAAUCUGAGGUCC